GACGAACGCUGGCGGCGUGCUUAACACAUGCAAGUCGAACGGGCCUUGUCCCCUUUUUUUUGGGGGUGGGGUUAGUGGCGAACGGGUGAGUAACACGUGAGUAACCUGCCCCUCACUUCUGGAUAACCGCUUGAAAGGGUGGCUAAUACGGGGUGUUCUGGCCUGCUCGCAUGGGUGGGUUUGGAAAGAUUCGACCGGUUUUGGUUGUUUUGGUGGGGGAUGGGCUCGCGGCCUAUCAGCUUGUUGGUGGGGUGAUGGCCUGCCAAGGCUUUGACGGGUAGCCGGCGUGAGAGGGUGGGCGGUCACACUGGGACUGAGACACGGCCCAGACUCCUACGGGAGGCAGCAGUGGGGAAUAUUGCACAAUGGGCGCAAGCCUGAUGCAGCGACGCCGCGUGAGGGAUGGAGGCCUUCGGGUUGUGAACCUCUUUCGCCAGUGAAGAAGGUCCUGCUCUUUGUGGUGGGGUUGACGGUAGCUGGGUUAAUGAAGCGCCGGCUAACUACGU
Molecule: ribosomal RNA, 506 nt
Filed under: uncultured bacterium
Lineage: Bacteria
Description: partial 16S ribosomal RNA
Rfam family: Bacterial small subunit ribosomal RNA
Source: RNAcentral